This 239-nucleotide unclassified non-coding RNA is filed under the name Hevea brasiliensis (rubber tree). Lineage: Eukaryota; Viridiplantae; Streptophyta; Magnoliopsida; Malpighiales; Euphorbiaceae. The record is from RNAcentral.
CCGCUCCGAACUGAUCAGCAUGAACCGGUCGGGCCGGCCGGACGUACACCUGCGCAUCGUUUCCUCCAGAAACAUUGUUCUUCACGGGCGAUUGUUCGCCUCUUGUGAAACUCGAAUUAGCGGCUCUUCUCAGUGGUCUCGAAUUUUUCCGCCCCCAUAUAACCGAACAGANGCGACCUUGCGCUUCUGGAUUUCCUCGCUGCCCUCGGUGAUGCGAUAGCGCCGGUGAUGGCGGUAGA